GACGAACGCUGGCGGCGUGCCUAAUACAUGCAAGUAGGACGCACAGCCUAUACCGUAGCUUGCUACACCAUAGGCUGUGAGUUGCGAACGGGUGAGUAACGCGUAGGUAACCUGCCUAUUAGAGGGGGAUAACUAUUGGAAACGAUAGCUAAUACCGCAUAACAGUAUGUAACACAUGUUAGAUGCUUGAAAGAUGCAAUUGCAUCGCUAGUAGAUGGACCUGCGUUUGUAUUAGCUAGUAGGUAGGGUAAAGGCCUACCUAGGCAACGAUACAUAGCCGACCUGAGAGGGUGAUCGGCCACACUGGGACUGAGACCACGGCCCCAGACUCCUACGGGAGGCAGCCAGUAGGGAAUUCUUUCGGCAAUGGGGGGAAACCCU
This 381-nucleotide ribosomal RNA is filed under the name Streptococcus anginosus. Its description in RNAcentral is "bacterial SSU rRNA". It matches the Rfam family "Bacterial small subunit ribosomal RNA", at positions 28 to 384 of the family's 1533-position model. The record is from RNAcentral. Lineage: Bacteria; Bacillati; Bacillota; Bacilli; Lactobacillales; Streptococcaceae.